GUGCCGGGUGGUACCGUGGAGGAACACGCUCCUGCCGGGGUGGCUCGGGAUCAGCCUGCUGUAGCGGGGGCUCGACCUGCACUAGCGGAGGAGGUCCCGGUAACUCCCUUCUCUCCUCUUGCCUUUGCUGGGCAGCUGCGAGAGCCUCCACCAUCUCGAAUAGUCUAUCUAAAUCCUCCCGAAGUGAAUUAUCUGGGGCCGCUCGAUUUAGUGGGGGCCUUCCUCUCCUCAUUCCCGUGUACCUGCAUUCACAAG
Molecule: long non-coding RNA, 255 nt
Filed under: Carica papaya (papaya)
Lineage: Eukaryota; Viridiplantae; Streptophyta; Magnoliopsida; Brassicales; Caricaceae
Description: long non-coding RNA (CPAP_LNC000582)
Source: RNAcentral